CAGCCGCCACGGUAAUACGAAGGGUGCAAGCGUUACUCGGAAUUACUGGGCGUAAAGCGUGCGUAGGUGGUGGUUUAAGUCCGUUGUGAAAGCCCUGGGCUCAACCUGGGAAUCGCAGUGGAUACUGGGUCACUAGAGUGUGGUAGAGGAUAGUGGAAUUUCCGGUGUAGCAGUGAAAUGCGUAGAGAUCGGAAGGAACAUCUGUGGCGAAGGCGACUAUCUGGGCCAACACUGACACUGAGGCACGAAAGCGUGGGGAGCAAACAGGAUUAGAUACCCGCGUAGUCCCUGUCUCUUAUAA
This 301-nucleotide ribosomal RNA is filed under the name uncultured bacterium. Its description in RNAcentral is "partial 16S ribosomal RNA". It matches the Rfam family "Bacterial small subunit ribosomal RNA", at positions 509 to 809 of the family's 1533-position model. The record is from RNAcentral.